AUGUGCAUUCCUACAACAUAGUGUUAAUGCACCAAAUCCCAUUAGAACUCCCUAGUUAAACACGCUCGGGAUAGAGUAGUACUGGGAUGGGUGGCCACCCAUGAAGUCCUAGUAUUUUACAUG
Molecule: non-coding RNA, 123 nt
Organism: Picea glauca (white spruce)
Lineage: Eukaryota; Viridiplantae; Streptophyta; Pinopsida; Pinales; Pinaceae
Source: Rfam